AGUGAACGCUGGCGGUAGGCCUAACACAUGCAAGUCGAACGGCAGCACAGUAAGAGCUUGCUCUUACGGGUGGCGAGUGGCGGACGGGUGAGGAAUACAUCGGAAUCUACUUUUUCGUGGGGGAUAACGUAGGGAAACUUACGCUAAUACCGCAUACGACCUACGGGUGAAAGCAGGGGAUCUUCGGACCUUGCGCGAUUGAAUGAGCCGAUGUCGGAUUAGCUAGUUGGCGGGGUAAAGGCCCACCAAGGCGACGAUCCGUAGCUGGUCUGAGAGGAUGGUCGGCCACACUGGAACUAAGCCACGUUCCAGACUCCUACGGGAGGCAGCAGUGGGGAAUAUUGGACAAUGGGGGCAAGCCUGAUCCAGCCAUCCCGCGUGGGUGAAGAAGGCCUUCGGGUUGUAAAGCCCUUUUGUUGGGAAAGAAAAGCAGCAGGUUAAUACCCCGCUGUUCUGACGGUACCCAAAGAAUAAGCACCGGCUAACUUCGUG
Molecule: ribosomal RNA, 492 nt
Filed under: uncultured bacterium
Lineage: Bacteria
Description: partial 16S ribosomal RNA
Rfam family: Bacterial small subunit ribosomal RNA
Source: RNAcentral